GACGAACGCUGGCGGCGUGCUUAACACAUGCAAGUCGAACGGAAAGGCCCUGCUUUUGUGGGGUGCUCGAGUGGCGAACGGGUGAGUAACACGUGAGUAACCUGCCCUUGACUUUGGGAUAACUUCAGGAAACUGGGGCUAAUACCGGAUAGGAGCUCCUGCUGCAUGGUGGGGGUUGGAAAGUUUCGGCGGUUGGGGAUGGACUCGCGGCUUAUCAGCUUGUUGGUGGGGUAGUGGCUUACCAAGGCUUUGACGGGUAGCCGGCCUGAGAGGGUGACCGGCCACAUUGGGACUGGGGUACGGCCCAGACUCCUACGGGAGGCAGCAGUGGGGAAUAUUGCACAAUGGGCGGAAGCCUGAUGCAGCAUCGCCGCGUGCGGGAUGACGGCCUUCGGGUUGUAAACCGCUUUCGCCUGUGACGAAGCGUGAGUGACGGUAAUGGGUAAAGAAGCACCGGCUAACUACGU
Molecule: ribosomal RNA, 467 nt
Filed under: uncultured bacterium
Lineage: Bacteria
Description: partial 16S ribosomal RNA
Rfam family: Bacterial small subunit ribosomal RNA
Source: RNAcentral